RNAcentral lists this long non-coding RNA (677 nucleotides) under Cavia porcellus (domestic guinea pig). Its description in RNAcentral is "lncRNA (ENSCPOG00000035262.1)". The record is from RNAcentral. Lineage: Eukaryota; Metazoa; Chordata; Mammalia; Rodentia; Caviidae.
UGCUACCUGACCUCCCCAUGGCCUCCAGGGGUGUGGCCAUCAAGGCCAGAUUGUCCUGGCUACACUUGUAGCAGGCAAGUAGGGAGGCCCGUGUAGCUAUCACAAGAUUCUCAGCACUUUUUCAAGGAGCUCACCUAAGAAACUAAUGUGUCAAGUCCUCUAGGCACCCACGACGCUGCUGCUGUACCAGGGGGUGAUGGAAUGGACUGGACCACGGGAAAUGUGGACAGGCAUUCCUCUUGAGAUGACUGCAGAUGGCACCCCCUGCUCCCACAACCCCAGCUCUGUCAUGGCCCACCACCCCGAGAAGCCUGAGGAGACCUCCACACAGCCCGCAGAGGGAAGAGAUGAGCCUGUCCCAUGGCCCCCAUCCGAUCCCUGGAUCAACACCCCCUGGGGUCCAAUGAUAGCCCUAGAGGACACAUGCAGGGGUACCCACUGUGAGCCUCGGGUCAAGCAGACCUUUGUGUGCCCUACUCUGUCCAGCAGCGGAGGGGGCAGAGCAGCGUGUUUCCUGUUGGUAUUAUCUUUCCUCAUUUUUUUUUUAAUUUAUGAGAAACUGCUUUAUUGAGAAGAAAGAAUGAUUUAAACGGUCCUGUGGUGCCUGCCGGUCCUUUUCUCGCCUGGGGGAAAGAAAUAAAUAAAUAACAUCCGCUCUGUGAUCUGUAUGCACAGGA